GNGAGGAUAUUGGUCAAUGGGCGAGNACCUGACCAGCCAUGCCGCGUGCAGGAUGACUGCCCUAUGGGUUGUAAACUGCUUUUCUGCAGGAAGAAAGGUUUGGAUUCGUUCCGGAUUUGACGGUACUGCAGGAAUAAGCAUCGGCUAACUCCGUGCCAGCAGCCGCGGUAAUACGGAGGAUGCAAGCGUUAUCCGGAUUCAUUGGGUUUAAAGGGUGCGCAGGCUGGCCAGGAAGUCAGAGGUGAAAGCCCGGGGCUUAACUCCGGGAUUGCCUUUGAAACUUUUGGUCUUGAGUGUAGUCGAGGACGGCGGAAUGAGUUAUGUAGCGGUGAAAUGCAUAGAUAUAACUCAGAACACCGAUUGCGAAGGCAGCUGUCUAGGCUACUACUGACGCUGAGGCACGAAAGCGUGGGGAGCGAACAGGAUUAGAUACCCUGGUAGUCCACGCUGUAAACUAUGAUCACUCGCUGUUGGCGAUAUACAGUCAGCGGCUGAGCGAAAGCAUUAAGUGAUCCACCUGGGGAGUACGUCGGCAACGAUGAAACUCAAAGGAAUUGACGGGGGCCCGCACAAGCGGAGGAACAUGUGGUUUAAUUCGAUGAUACNCGAGGAACCUUACCUGGGCUUAAUGUAGAGUGCAUUCUCGAGAAAUCGGNAUUUCCUUCGGGACUCUUUACAAGGUGCUGNAUGGUUG
RNAcentral lists this ribosomal RNA (694 nucleotides) under uncultured Bacteroidota bacterium. Its description in RNAcentral is "bacterial SSU rRNA". It matches the Rfam family "Bacterial small subunit ribosomal RNA", at positions 355 to 1051 of the family's 1533-position model. The record is from RNAcentral. Lineage: Bacteria; Pseudomonadati; Bacteroidota.